Molecule: ribosomal RNA, 253 nt
Filed under: uncultured bacterium
Lineage: Bacteria
Description: partial 16S ribosomal RNA
Rfam family: Bacterial small subunit ribosomal RNA
Source: RNAcentral
UACAGAGGUCCCAAGCGUUGUUCGGAUUCACUGGGCGUAAAGGGCGCGUAGGCGGUCUUCUAAGUCCUGUGUGAAAUCCCUCGGCUCAACUGAGGAACUGCACGGGAUACUGGAAGACUUGAGUUCGGGAGAGGGAAGCGGAAUUCCGGGUGUAGCGGUGAAAUGCGUAGGUAUCCGGAGGAACAUCAGUGGCGAAGGCGGCUUCCUGGACCAGAACUGACGCUGAGGAGCGAAAGCGUGGGGAGCGAACAGG